AGAGUUUGAUCCUGGCUCAGGAUGAACGCUAGCGGCAGGCCUAAUACAUGCAAGUCGAACGGUAAGGCUCUAACUUGUUAGAGCACACGAGUGGCGCACGGGUGCGUAACGCGUAUGCAACCUACCUGUAACAGGGGGAUAGCCCUUUGAAAGAAGGAUUAAUACCCCAUAAUGUUUUUGAGAGGCAUCUCUCAAUUCCUAAAACUCCGGUGGUUACAGAUGGGCAUGCGUGACAUUAGUUAGUUGGUAAGGUAACGGCUUACCAAGACAGCGAUGUCUAGGGGUUCUGAGAGGAUUAUCCCCCACACUGGUACUGAGACACGGACCAGACUCCUACGGGAGGCAGCAGUAAGGAAUAUUGGGCAAUGGGCGAAAGCCUGACCCAGCCAUGCCGCGUGCAGGAUGACAGCUCUAGUAGUUGUAAACUGCUUUUAUACGAGAAGAAACCCCGCUACGUGUAGCGGGCUGACGGUAUCGUAAGAAUAAGGACCGGCUAACUCCGUGCCAGCAGCCGCGGUAAUACGGAGGGUCCAAGCGUUAUCCGGAUUCAUUGGGUUUAAAGGGUGCGUAGGCGGAUUUAUAAGUCAGUGGUGAAAGCCUGCAGCUUAACUGUAGAAUUGCCAUUGAUACUGUUUAUCUUGAGUUUAGUUGAAGUGGGCGGAAUGUGUCAUGUAGCGGUGAAAUGCAUAGAUAUGACACAGAACACCGAUAGCGAAGGCAGCUCACUAAGCUAAUACUGACGCUGAGGCACGAAAGCGUGGGGAGCGAACAGGAUUAGAUACCCUGGUAGUCCACGCCGUAAACGAUGAUUACUCGAUGUGUGCGAUAUAAUGUACGCGUCCAAGCGAAAGUGAUAAGUAAUCCACCUGGGGAGUACGUUCGCAAGAAUGAAACUCAAAGGAAUUGACGGGGGCCCGCACAAGCGGUGGAGCAUGUGGUUUAAUUCGAUGAUACGCGAGGAACCUUACCUGGGCUUAAAUGUAGAAUGGCGGAUUGGGAAACCAGUCUUUCUUCGGACGUUUUACAAGGUGCUGCAUGGCCGUCGUCAGCUCGUGCCGUGAGGUGUCGGGUUAAGUCCCAUAACGAGCGCAACCCCUAUUUCUAGUUGCCAGCGGAUAAUGCCGGGGACUCUAGAGAAACUGCCCGCGCAAGCGGAGAGGAAGGUGGGGAUGACGUCAAAUCAUCACGGCCCUUACGUCCAGGGCUACACACGUGCUACAAUGGUCGGUACAAAGGGCAGCUACCUGGUGACAGGAUGCUAAUCUCUAAAGCCGAUCUCAGUUCGGAUCGAAGUCUGCAACUCGACUUCGUGAAGUUGGAAUCGCUAGUAAUCGAAUAUCAGCCAUGAUUCGGUGAAUACGUUCCCGGGCCUUGUACACACCGCCCGUCAAGCCAUGGAAGCCGGGGGUACCUGAAGUCAGUAACCGCAAGGAGCUGCCUAGGGUAAAACUGGUAACUAGGGCUAAGUCGUAACAAGGUAGCC
Molecule: ribosomal RNA, 1483 nt
Filed under: uncultured prokaryote
Description: partial 16S ribosomal RNA
Rfam family: Bacterial small subunit ribosomal RNA
Source: RNAcentral